RNAcentral lists this long non-coding RNA (620 nucleotides) under Mytilus galloprovincialis (Mediterranean mussel). The record is from RNAcentral. Lineage: Eukaryota; Metazoa; Mollusca; Bivalvia; Mytilida; Mytilidae.
GCUUUUCUUGAAGGUUAAAAUCAAAAUAUUUAAAGCCAAUGAUUGAUUGUAAGAAGUGAACAGUUGAAGAGCUAUAUGAUCAACAGUGACCUAAAAUUAUGAAUUCAAAGCAGAAAGCCAACUAAUCUUUUGCUAUAACGUUAAACGACAAAUAUUUCUGACAGACAGCAAUUUACGACAAAUAUUUAUGACAGACAGCAAUUUACGACAAACACUGAAUAUCAGACAUAUCAAGAAGAAGCGGUGCUAAGCAUGUCAGAACUCUAAAUAUGUUAGACAUGAGCACGAGCACCACUUUUGUUUUUCUAGACAUGAUGCUUUAAAACUUAAAUAAAUAAUACAAAGAAAGAAGAAAGGUACCAAAUGAACAUUUAAUCUCACAAUUCAAAACCUUACUGACAACACCAUGAAAAAAAGAUUUAAAGACAACCGUAUAUAUACAAAACAAACAAAAAAGACCAAAAGACAACCGUAUACAAAACACAACAGAAAAUAAAAGACUGAGCAACACAAACCCAACCUAAACCGUCGGUAUUCUCAGGUGUCCUGUCGUGUUGCUCAUGUUAGUACAAACCCACAGAUAAAUGUAGUCGGAUUAUUACCAUUCGAGGACAUGGAGG